This 629-nucleotide long non-coding RNA is filed under the name Olea europaea subsp. europaea. The record is from RNAcentral. Lineage: Eukaryota; Viridiplantae; Streptophyta; Magnoliopsida; Lamiales; Oleaceae.
GCUAGAGCUAAGGGUGAAACUUUGAUGAAUGUUUAGAAUUGUCUUUGAUCUUUCAUUUUGUUCUUCAAUGUUCAUCUUCUUACUUGGUUGAAGUUUGUGUUCUACAAAUGGUUUUGGUUUGUUAAAGACUUUGAUUUAUUGUUGACAAUUUUGGCACAAUAAAUGCUUAGAUAAUCUCUACAUACCAACAACUUAUUUUGACAUAUUCUCUCAAACAAUUAUCAAGAUCUAUCUUUUAAUAUAUUUGUGGUUAAUGUUUUAUCUUCCAUAUGAGAUCACUCCUUAGUUGAUUUUCAUAUGAGUUAAAAUUAAAGAUCAAGAGCAAUUUCUACUCAUUUAUCCAAAGUGAAUCCCCGACGCUCUAGUGUUCAUUGCAAUCGUAUUUCCACCAACCGUUUAUUACUCAAAGAAUAGUUUAUUUCCUUCCAAUUCCCUAUGGUUCGACCUCGGACUUUCGAGAUUUACUACUUGCGACAACCUGCACUUGGGUUUGCAACCUUAAAGUUGUAGCAAGUUUUUGGCGCCGUUGCCGGGGAUUUGCGUCAAGGAUUAUUUUCUGCUACUUUCUAUGAGGUUUUCUUCUCUUUCAUAAUCUUCACAAAUCAGGUACACUCGUUCCUUUUUCAAUC